This 188-nucleotide unclassified non-coding RNA is filed under the name Paraglomerales sp. RNAcentral describes it as "partial contains 5.8S ribosomal RNA and internal transcribed spacer 2". The stretch from base 1 to 65 matches the Rfam family "5.8S ribosomal RNA", at positions 84 to 154 of the family's 154-position model. The record is from RNAcentral. Lineage: Eukaryota; Fungi; Glomeromycota; Glomeromycetes; Paraglomerales.
GUGAAUCAUCAAAUCUUUGAACGCAAAUUGCGCCUUUUUCGGACGGCAUGUCUGUUUGAGUGCACCAUUUAACAAAUAAUGUGCAUUUCGUGUGCACACGUUGAUGAGCUUUCCACAAUUAUGUAUUAUUAUUUUUGGUGGCGCAUAAUAAACAGCGAGGUGCUUUUUCAGUGAGCGUGUGUAAAAAU